Molecule: ribosomal RNA, 722 nt
Filed under: Brachionus calyciflorus
Lineage: Eukaryota; Metazoa; Rotifera; Eurotatoria; Ploima; Brachionidae
Description: 12S ribosomal RNA
Source: RNAcentral
UGACUUAAACUUAAAUGCUUAGGUUCAAAGCUAAAGACACAGUAGUGUAAAUAUAUAAAUCUUUUUAAAAUAACUUAUUCUAUUCUUAUUAUAUAUAGCUAAUUUAGAAAAUUAUUACACCUUAGAUAUAUGGUUAUAGUCUUCUGUGAAUGAAUUUCCUAAUAGAGUGCCAGCAGGCGUGGUUAGACUGAACAUUUACUUUAGCUCAAUUUUAUUUAAAAUAACUAUUAUGUGGUAGAUAACCAGUAAAAUGGGAAGUAGACUAAAUCAAGUUAAUCAUUAUUAGUCACAUGAAAGACAAGGAUUAGAUACCCUUUUAUGAGUGAUGAAAUAAAAAAGAUAAUUAAAUUACAAAUUCAAACAAUUUGGCGGUAAGAAAAGAACUCAGAGAAACCUAAGUAUUAAUUGGAUGAUCCACCAUCAUACAUUCUUAUUAUAUUUGUUACCUGUAUGUCUGUUUAGUUUAUCGUUAGAUCUUUAGACUAUUAAAUUUAUAAAUAUAAAUUCAGGUCCAUAUAGGGAUUGUUAAUAAGAUAACUCGGGUUGCAUUUAAAACUACUAGUAGCUUAAUCAAUAUUAGCUUAAUUCGGAUUUGAAAGUAAAUAUUUCUGUAAAUAUAUUGAAUUCCUCUUUUCUUAAGUACAAAUCGCCCGUCACCUCUGUUACAAAAUAAACUGAGUAAGUCGAAACAAAGUAGGUUGGCUGGAAGGGUAACCUGUAUG